Molecule: ribosomal RNA, 450 nt
Filed under: uncultured bacterium
Lineage: Bacteria
Description: partial 16S ribosomal RNA
Rfam family: Bacterial small subunit ribosomal RNA
Source: RNAcentral
CCUACGGGAGGCUGCAGUGGGGAAUUUUGGACAAUGGGGGCAACCCUGAUCCAGCCAUUCCGCGUGAGUGAAGAAGGCCUUCGGGUUGUAAAGCUCUUUCGGCCGGGAAGAAAUCGUGCGGGCCAAUACCCUGUAUGGAUGACGGUACCGGAAGAAGAAGCACCGGCUAACUACGUGCCAGCAGCCGCGGUAAUACGUAGGGUGCGUGCGUUAAUCGGAGGGACUGGGCGUAGUGGGUGAAGAGAGGGGUGAAAUCCCCGGGCUUAACCUGGGAACUGCGCUUGUGACUGCAAGACUUGAGUGCGGCAGAGGGGGGUGGAAUUCCACGUGUAGCAGUGAAAUGCGUAGAGAUGUGGAGGAACACCGAUGGCGAAGGCAGCCCCCUGGGUCGACACUGACGCUCAUGCACGAAAGCGUGGGGAGCAAACAGGAUUAGAUACCCGUGUAGUC